Molecule: long non-coding RNA, 529 nt
Filed under: Olea europaea subsp. europaea
Lineage: Eukaryota; Viridiplantae; Streptophyta; Magnoliopsida; Lamiales; Oleaceae
Source: RNAcentral
AUUACACUGAUAAUAUCUAUAUAUUUGAUAGAAAAUUAUUUUUAUUAGCAUCUGCCACUGCACUUCCCUGGUCACCCUAUGUAUAUAUUGUUUCUUUUCUAGACUUCUCAAUCUGUCUCCGAAGUAGGUAAUGAUACAAAACAGAAGUGUUCUCUGAGUCCUUCGAAUACAUAUUUCAUAUAUAUUCAGAUGCCCAUAAUUAGUAUGACUCAUGAAUUUAAUACCUUUAUAGUUUGUAAAAUCUUGAAUAACAUUUAUUUUUAAAGUAAACACUACAAUAAUUCUACUCCAUUCAUUAGGCAUUUUUUCCUUUUCAAUAUCUUAUUGAAUAAUUUUGUCUAAGCAUAAAUUUUUUUUCAUGCCUUUGAUAGAAUUUCUAUCUGAACUGAUUGCUUUUCUUAUCUUCAUGCUUCAUCCUAUUCAGUGCCCCCAUACUUCCAAGAUAAGUUAUAAGAUGGGUGACCCUUUGGCAAGUCCUCACAUUGCACCCUACCAAAAAAUCCUCACAUUGCACCUCUUAAAACUUGCC